ACAGAGAGUUUUGGGGAGUCGGAAACGAACUUAUAAAUAUGAAAAUAUAAAUACACCCGACCCUCAUUCUGCAUCCAUUAAUUCUCAUCCAUGCGAAGUGUAGUGUCUUGGUCUGCGUCAGAGGCCGAAUUGAUUUGGCUUAUCUAGACUGGACAGCAAUGAGUGAAUUGGGAUCUUGAUAACACUUUGGCGCAGAUGAGUGAGACGACGACGGGUGGAUUUGGUGAGCCCAGCGUCGUACUCGACGGCCGAAAGCGAUAAAAGCUGGAACCAUGAUAAGAUUCCCCUAACUGUUGCUGCAUACGAAUAUUCCAUCUUUGAGCUAGUACUUGCUAGAUACUCGAAUCGUGGUCUUAUUUGCACUCUUUCUUUAUAUCUAUACUAUCACUGGAUCACUGGAAACCUGUGAAUGUGAAUCAGUUUAUUGUUUGCGCCAGCCGGGUGAGGACGUCUGCAGAGCAAGAUUUCUAUCCGACCAAGAUACAUAUGUAUGUAGAAAGAGAGCUCGGUGGUGGUAGUGAAGCGCUCGAGAUCAACAUUGCGAUCUCGUCUGAGAUUCAAACGCUGUGCUGUGCGAUUGAUCAGCGGGUCCAGCGGAUAAUGACGAAUACCUGGUAAAAGGGAAGUACAAAUUCGACGAUUAAUAUUACAUUUAAUAACUUCAUACUUUCAGACACCCCAGACGGGUGAUGCCCCGCCCUGAAAGUGAAUAUAGUGGAUUAGACCUAUUGGGGAUAUCACUUAAAAAAAAACGCACCAAAAACUCGACUUCUUGGGUGGUGUGGAAUGAGUUUAUUUCCAUAAAUAAAUAAAUCUUAAAUAUAAAAUAAAUAUAUCCUUAAA
Molecule: long non-coding RNA, 843 nt
Organism: Drosophila pseudoobscura
Lineage: Eukaryota; Metazoa; Arthropoda; Insecta; Diptera; Drosophilidae
Exons: 2
Source: RefSeq, a predicted model, not a curated record